GGACUGUAGUCUGCAACCCGACUACACGAAGCCGGAAUCGCUAGUAAUCGCGAAUCAGAAUGUCGCGGUGAAUACGUUCCCGGGUCUUGUACACACCGCCCGUCACACCAUGGGAGUCGGAAAUGCCCGAAGUCAGUGACCUAACCGAAAGGAGGGAGCUGCCGAAGGUGGAGCCGGUAACUGGGGUGAAGUCGUAACAAGGUACC
RNAcentral lists this ribosomal RNA (206 nucleotides) under uncultured bacterium. Its description in RNAcentral is "partial 16S ribosomal RNA". It matches the Rfam family "Bacterial small subunit ribosomal RNA", at positions 1295 to 1500 of the family's 1533-position model. The record is from RNAcentral.